Molecule: ribosomal RNA, 489 nt
Filed under: Bradyrhizobium sp.
Lineage: Bacteria; Pseudomonadati; Pseudomonadota; Alphaproteobacteria; Hyphomicrobiales; Nitrobacteraceae
Description: bacterial SSU rRNA
Rfam family: Bacterial small subunit ribosomal RNA
Source: RNAcentral
UACCGGAUAAGCCCUUACGGGGAAAGAUUUAUCGCCGAAAGAUCGGCCCGCGUCUGAUUAGCUAGUUGGUGAGGUAAUGGCUCACCAAGGCGACGAUCAGUAGCUGGUCUGAGAGGAUGAUCAGCCACAUUGGGACUGAGACACGGCCCAAACUCCUACGGGAGGCAGCAGUGGGGAAUAUUGGACAAUGGGCGCAAGCCUGAUCCAGCCAUGCCGCGUGAGUGAUGAAGGCCCUAGGGUUGUAAAGCUCUUUUGUGCGGGAAGAUAAUGACGGUACCGCAAGAAUAAGCCCCGGCUAACUUCGUGCCAGCAGCCGCGGUAAUACGAAGGGGGCUAGCGUUGCUCGGAAUCACUGGGCGUAAAGGGUGCGUAGGCGGGUCUUUAAGUCAGGGGUGAAAUCCUGGAGCUCAACUCCAGAACUGCCUUUGAUACUGAAGAUCUUGAGUUCGGGAGAGGUGAGUGGAACUGCGAGUGUAGAGGUGAAAUUCG